GUAUCAAUAAGCGGAGGAAAAGAAACCAACAGGGAUUGCCCCAGUAACGGCGAGUGAAGCGGCAACAGCUCAAAUUUGAAAUCUGGCCCUCCAGGGUCCGAGUUGUAAUUUGCAGAGGAUGCUUUUGGCGAGGUGCCUCCGAGUUCCCUGGAACGGGACGCCACUAGAGGGUGAGAGCCCCGUCUGGUUGGACACCGAGCCUCUGUAAAGCUCCUUCGACGAGUCGAGUAGUUUGGGAAUGCUGCUCUAAAAUGGGAGGUAUAUGUCUUCUAAAGCUAAAUAUUGGCCAGAGACCGAUAGCGCACAAGUAGAGUGAUCGAAAGAUGAAAAGCACUUGAAAAGAGGGUUAAACUAGUAC
This 358-nucleotide ribosomal RNA is filed under the name uncultured fungus. RNAcentral describes it as "eukaryotic LSU rRNA". It matches the Rfam family "Eukaryotic large subunit ribosomal RNA", at positions 40 to 398 of the family's 3401-position model. Lineage: Eukaryota; Fungi. The record is from RNAcentral.